RNAcentral lists this ribosomal RNA (253 nucleotides) under uncultured bacterium. RNAcentral's name for it is "partial 16S ribosomal RNA". It matches the Rfam family "Bacterial small subunit ribosomal RNA", at positions 524 to 776 of the family's 1533-position model. The record is from RNAcentral.
UACGUAGGGGGCAAGCGUUAUCCGGAAUUACUGGGUGUAAAGGGAGCGUAGACGGUAAUGUAAGUCUGGAGUGAAAGGCGGGGGCCCAACCCCCGGACUGCUCUGGAAACUAUGUUACUAGAGUGCAGGAGAGGUAAGCGGAAUUCCUAGUGUAGCGGUGAAAUGCGUAGAUAUUAGGAGGAACACCAGUGGCGAAGGCGGCUUACUGGACUGUAACUGACGUUGAGGCUCGAAAGCGUGGGGAGCAAACAGG